GACGAACGCUGGCGGCGUGCUUAACACAUGCAAGUCGAACGAUGAAGCCGAAGCUUGCUCCGGUGAAUUAGUGGCGAACGGGUGAGUAACACGUGAGUAACCUGCCCUUGACUCUGGGAUAACUGCGGGAAACUGUAGCUAAUACCGGAUACGACCCUCGGAGGCAUCUCCUGGGGGUGGAAAGAAUUUCGGUCAAGGAUGGACUCGCGGCCUAUCAGCUAGUUGGUGAGGUAAAGGCUCACCAAGGCGACGACGGGUAGCCGGCCUGAGAGGGUGACCGGCCACACUGGGACUGAGACACGGCCCAGACUCCUACGGGAGGCAGCAGUGGGGAAUAUUGCACAAUGGGCGCAAGCCUGAUGCAGCAACGCCGCGUGAGGGAUGACGGCCUUCGGGUUGUAAACCUCUUUUAGCAGGGAAGAAGCGAAAGUGACGGUACCUGCAGAAAAAGCACCGGCUAACUACGUGCCAGCCGCCGCGGUAA
This 484-nucleotide ribosomal RNA is filed under the name uncultured bacterium. Its description in RNAcentral is "partial 16S ribosomal RNA". It matches the Rfam family "Bacterial small subunit ribosomal RNA", at positions 28 to 523 of the family's 1533-position model. The record is from RNAcentral.